AUUGAACGCUGGCGGCAGGCCUAACACAUGCAAGUCGAGCGGAUGAAGGGAGCUUGCUCCUGGAUUCAGCGGCGGACGGGUGAGUAAUGCCUAGGAAUCUGCCUGGUAGUGGGGAUAACGUCCGGAAAAGGGCGCUAAUACCGCCUACGUCCCUGAGGGGAAAGGGGGGGAACUUUGGGCCCCACGCUCUCAGGUUGACCUAGGUCGGAUUAGCUAGUUGGUGGGGUAAAGGCCUACCAAGGCGACGAUCCGUAACUGGUCUGAGAGGAUGAUCAGUCACACUGGAACUGAGACACGGUCCAGACUCCUACGGGAGGCAGCAGUGGGGAAUAUUGGACAAUGGGCGAAAGCCUGAUCCAGCCAUGCCGCGUGUGUGAAGAAGGUCUUCGGAUUGUAAAGCACUUUAAGUUGGGAGGAAGGGCAGUAAGUUAAUACCUUGCUGUUUUGACGUUACCAACAGAAUAAGCACCGGCUAACUUCGUG
Molecule: ribosomal RNA, 483 nt
Filed under: uncultured bacterium
Lineage: Bacteria
Description: partial 16S ribosomal RNA
Rfam family: Bacterial small subunit ribosomal RNA
Source: RNAcentral